CUUAUUUCAUCAAUUAUCAGUUUGAGAUAUGUUUUACUUAACAAUUUGUAUUCUGCUGUAUUAAAAAAACUCAUUAUUCUGGAAUAAAUUCAGAUUUACAUAAAAGUUACAAAGAUAGUACAGAGAAUACUCGUAUGUCCUUUACCCAACAUCCCCCAAUGUUAACAUCUUACAUAACUACAGUACAUUUGUCACAACCAAGAAAUUAAUAUUGGAAUAAUACUAUUAACAAAAUUCCAGACUUUGUUUAGAUUUAGCCAAUUUUUUUCCACUCAUGUCCUUUUUUCACUGUCAAUCUGGGAUAUCACAUUGUAUUUAGUUGUCAUGUCUCCUUAGUCUUCUCUGUUCUGUAAAAGCUUCUCAGACUUUCCUUGUUUUUUCAGGUCCUUGAUACUUUUUAGUACUGGUCAAGUAUUUGUAGAAUGCCCUUUAUUAUUAUUAUUAUUUUUUUUUUCUGCUUAGAUUUAACACAUUCUAUCAGAGAGUACAUGAUAUCACCAUGCCUUAUCAUUGGUGAAGUUAACCUUGAACUUGGUUAAGGUGCUGUCUGCCAGGCCUCUUCACUGUAAAGUUACUGCUUUUCCCUCUUCAUACUCUGUUCUUUAAAAGUCAGCAGUCCAGUCCAUAUUCAAGAAGAGGUAAAUUAAGUUCCACCUCCUGAAAGUGUGUUCUACAUAUAUUAUUUGGAAUUUUUCUGUAAGGAAGAUUUGCUUCUUUUCUGCCAAGUAUUUAUUUAGUCAAUCAUUUAUUUAAAUCAACAUGGAUUUAUAGAUAUUGACUUUAUUUUUUAGGUUAUAAUCCAAUCCUCUCAUAUUUAUUUUGUUGCUCAAACUGUCCCAGCUUGGACCACUGGGAGACAUUUCAGGAUAAUAAUAUCCUGAAGGUGAUCAACAAUAUUGCAAUACCUAUUAUACAGUAGGUAGUUUUGGGAGCAUUUUAACAUGAUACCAAAUGUAAAAUGAAUCUACCUUAAAUUUAUAUAUGGAAAAAAUCAACUGAAGACCGAGAAGAUCACUUAAAAAUCAUAUGUAAUUAUGUAUUUCUUAAACCUUUAUACUUCAAAAAGCAACCUGACAUCACAGAUUGAGAAAAUGUAAUUACAUCUUCAACAGAAUGCUAUAGAAUAACAAUGUCAUUGUAAGGAAAAAGCAAAUAAUAAACCAGUCAGAAGUGCUACAAAAGAAAACACUGAGGAAAAAAUAGCAAAAUGUAAAGGUGUAAGAAUUUUAAUUGUCUGCAUUUCCUAACUUCCAUUCCUCAGCCUCCAGAAAUCUAACAUUUGCCACUAUACAAAUGGCUCUCAGACACAAGACAAACUAACCGCCAAAGCCAAUCAUCCACUUUCAGUACUUACCUAACCAAUCUCCCAUAACACUUGACACUCUUUUUUUUAAUUAAUUAAUUUUUUUUUUUUGAGACGGAGUUUCUCUCCUUGCCCAGGCUGGAGUGCAAUGGCGUGAUCUCAGCUCACCACAACCUCCACUUCCCAGGUUCAAGCAAUUCUCCUGCCUCAGCCUCCUGAAUAGCUGGGAUUAUAGGCAUGUGCCACCACGUCCGGCUAUUAUUUGUAUUUUUAGUAGAGAUGGGGUUUCGUCAUGUUGGUAAGGCUGGCCUUGAACUCCCGACCUCAGGUGAUCUGCCCGCCUCAGCCUCCCAAAGUUCUGGGAUUACAGGCGUGAGCCACCACGUCCACCCACUUGACACUCUUGACUAUAAUAAACUCACUUAAGAAACCCACUGAAUUCACCAUAAAUAUUGUCAUUCCUUCUCAUAGCCUUAAUAAUAAAGUAUCUAUAAUUAUCUUCAGGUUUUACCUCUCCUUUGAGCUACAGAUCCAUCUGUCCUACAAAACAGGCUUGAAAUCCAAAUUUAUUACCUAUUUCCAACCUUAUCCUUUUGCAUAUCUCAUUUCACUUAAUCACAUCAUCUCUACCUUGGCUCAGAGCCUCAUAAUAAGAGCCUCAUAAUAUUUUGUGGGAGCAGUUUCCAAACUGAUCUACCUGAUCUCUUUUCACUAAUCCAUCUAUCACACUGCUGUCAAUGUAAUCUCAACAAAUUAUUCCCCAUCUUAAAACCCUUAACUUCUCAUACCUUAUAAAGUAAACUCUAUACUCUUGGGAGUCUCAUAUAAACGAGGACUUUAUGAUCUGCCUAUCUUUCCAGUCCCAUCUCUUGGGUCCCAUAUCAAACCAUUAACACUUAACUAAGCACAGUAACACAUCCCCAUGCCCUUGCAAAGCUGAUAUCUAGUGUAAGAAACACGUGUCACACAUUAUUCUUCGCUGCUAAAUUCAAAACUCCCUCCUCCUUCCCAAGACCUUUAAAGUCAGUCCCUCACUUCUCUGCUCCCCAAAAUGCCUUGUAAGUAUCUCAAUAUUAAGAACCGUCAGGCUGUGCGCGGUGGCUCACACCUGUAAUCCCAGCACUUUGGGAAGCCGAGGCGGGUGGAUCACCAUAGGUCAGGAGUUCGAGACCAGCCUGGUCAACAUGGUGAAACUCCGUCUCUACUAAAAACACAAAAAUUAGCUGGGCAUGGUGGCACACACCUGUAAUCCCAGCUACUCAGGAGGCUGAGGCAGGAGAAUUGCUUGAGCCUGGGAGGCGGAGGUUGCAGUAAGCCAAGAUUGUGCCACUGCACUCCAGCCUGGCCAACAGAGUGAGUCUGUCUCAAAAAACAAAAAACAAAAAAAAACAAAAAAAAAAACUGUCAAUAACUAUUCAUAUACAUGUCUAAACUAUAAAUCAACUUUAAAGCAGAAAUUACCUUUUUUUUUUUUUUUCUGAGACAGAGUCUCGCUCUGUUGCCCAGGCCGGAGUGCAAUGGUGCAAUCUCGGCUCACUACAAUCUCCACCUCCUGGGUUCAAGUGAUUCUUGUGCCUCAGCCUCCCGAGUAGCUGGGACUACAGGCAUGUGCCACCAUGCCUGGCUAAUUUUUGUAUUUUUAGUAGAGGCAGGGUUUUACCAUGUUGGCCAGGCUGAUCUCGAACUCCUAACCUCAAGUGGCCCACCCACCUCGGCCUCCCAAAGUGCUGGAAUUACAGCAUGUUCCUUCUCCUGGCACACAAUAGGCACAAAAUAACUGUUUGCUGAAAGAACAGCUACCAUCAUAAGGGAAUAGUUAAGAAUAAAAAUCAAAUACAUAAAAUACUCCUAAACAAAACCAGUUCUGACUUUCAAAGGGAUCAAAACAAAAGAUAUCUGAGCCUGAAUUAAUAUUUUUAUUUAGUAUUCUGCUUAACUAAAAACUUUUCCUCGACUGGUUUUUGUUAAGACAACUAAACCUAUUCUCACAUCUACCUGAAAAAAGUAUAUUAAGUUUCUAUUAGAAAAUCAAGUCACAUCUCCAUGUACUUAUCAACAGUAAUUGUGAAGAAGAUGGAGAGAUUCCAAGAUAGAGAACAAUUAACAAAAGAAUUUAGACUUAUGAUCAAGUAAAGAAUAUAGCUGGUCUUUGUCCCUGGUUCCUGGCACAGAGUUUCAAAAACCCUUGUAAUUACCCAAGUGACAGGAAUGUCUCUGUUACGACAGUGAGAUGAAAGCCUGAGGUAACUUCAAGAUGGGGGCCGGUGACCAGAAAGACCAAAUCACAUAAUUAAAAAUCUGAAACUUUGGGUCACCCCAACCUCAAGGGAGUGGAGAACUGAAAAUUGAAUUAAAAAACAUGGCCAAUGAUCUAAUCAAUCCGGCCUACCUAACAGAGCCCCAAUAAAAACUCUGGACACUGAGGUUCACUGGAGCUUCCAGGUUGGUGAAUAUAGUGAUGUGCUGGGAGGGCAAUGUGCCCGGAUUCCACAAGGGGAAAGGCAUGGAGGUCUGUGGACCCUUCUUGCACCAAACACUGCUCUAUGUAUCUCUUCAACUAGUUGUUCUUGAUCUGCAUCCUUUGUAACAAAACUGUAAUCAUACUAUAGUGCUUUCACAAGUUCUGUGAGUCCUUUUAACAAGUUACCAAAAUUGAGGGGGUUGCACGAAGUUGCAAAUUUUUAGCAGGCCAGGCAGAAGUAUGGAUGUCUCAGGAACACCAAAAUUUGUGACUGGCAUCUGCAGUCUCAUGAUGAACUCUGCUCUUAACUUGAGGUCUUCACUAGCUUCAGGUAAUUUGUAUUCAGAAUUGAACUAAAUUGUACAACAUCCAAUUGGUGAUAGAGAACUAGUGUCAGAGCAGUGACUUCAGAGAGGUCUUUGUGGUUUCUGUAUGUUAUUUUAUAAAGAAGAAAAAAAGCCAAGUGCAGUGGCUCACACCUGUAAUCCCAGUACUCUGGAAGGCUGAGACAGGUGGUUCUCUUGCGGUCAGGAGUUUGAAACUAGCCUGGCCAAUACAGUGAAACCCCGACUCUACAAAAAAUUCAAAAAUUAGCCAAAUGUGGUGGUGCACUUCUGCAAUCCCAGCUACUCGGAGGCUGAGGCAGGAGAACAGCUUGAACCCAGGAGGCGGGUUUUGCAGUGAGCCUAGAUUACGCCACUGAACUCUAGCCUGGAUGACAGAGAGAGACUCCAUCUCAAAUAAAUAAAGAAGGAAAUUUUUAAAAAGACAAAUUCGUACUUAACACAGGUACUUUUGCAUAAACUUCCCUGCUAUCUUUCUCAUUCCCCAAGGACCCUGAAACCAGGUUCACAUCCACCAUUUUCACCCCAACUUCUGUAACUGUCCUCUUGGGUAAUUUCAAUGUCCAUGUAGAUGAUACAUUCAACAUCCUAACCUGUCAUCUCAUAUCACCUUCACCUCAAUUUACUCAUCCUUUAUAAUCUCCUUCUCAUGACUCUGAAAUUAGGGAUCUCAAAUCCAAAAGUUCCCUCUUUAAAUAGCUGAAGAGGGCCAGAUACAACACACAACAGAAAACAGUGAGGACUGUGGCGAACAAAAGAAUACAAGCAGCAAUGAAAAAGGGCCUGCCAAUACUGAGCCCCAGCCAUCCCUAUUAUCCACGAAAUGUGGACUAAUUGUUGCCAGAUGUUCUGAUUUUUCUGAGAAGCAGAAUUCCACAUUUUUAUGUAAAAUUGCUACAUUUUUUAAUAUGAGCAAUUUUUUAAAAAGUGUAGAGAUCAUCACAAAGAAUCACAUGUGGGCCAAAAGCUGACAGUUUUUUAAGCACUACUUUAAAUACUGCAGUUCCUCAGAGCUACCCAAGGCUGUUUGUUUUUCACUCCCUAUUCUCUCCCAAGGAAAAUAUCAUUACUCUCAUGAUUAUACAUAUAAAAAUUCACAAAGGUAUACAGUAUGUUUUGUUAUUGUAUGUGUUUCUAUAUAGUUAAAUAGCUCUUGUAUCAUUGAUAAAUACAAGAAUGAUACCAGAAUAUGGAAGUUGUAUUGGUUAAUACAUGACUUUUAAAGCACAUAAAUAUUUUGCAGGACAAAACUAGCAGCUGAACGAAGGAGUACACCAACACAAACUAAAUGAAGAAAGCCAUAAGCAAUGUAGUUCUGUUCAAAAUGUACAUUCAUCCACAUUCUUCCUCUUGGCUCCUACUGGCAACAGACUUUUCUGCAAGUGUUUUUAUUGUGUGGCUUCUCUCAAUGUUUGUACAAAAGAAACAAACAGGUACAAUACACUAGAACCAGCUAUGUCUGGCAUUGCUACAUUUAUCUACCAAUGACAUCCUUCUGUGCCUACAGUUGAGCAGCUUCAACCCUUCUUUAUAUCCCUACAAGCGACCUUCAUCUUUUCCUGGAAGGUUAAUGCCUAUAUUUAUUGUAGUAUUUCUAUUUUUUUUUUUUUUUUUUGAGACAGAGUAUCACUCUGCCAGCCCAGGCUGGAGUGAAGUGGCACGAUCACAGCUUACAGUAGCAGCCUUGAACUCCCGGGCUCAAGUGAUCAACUUGCCACAGCCUCCUGAGUAGCCAGGACUACAGGCGUAUGCCAUCAUGCCCAGCUAAUUUAAAAAACAUUUUUCUGUAGAGAUGGGAGGCUCCUAUGUUGCCCAGGCUGGUCUUCAACUCCUAGGCUCAAGUGAUACUUCAACCUCACCUCUCAAAGUGUUGAGAUUACAGGCAUUAGCCACCAUUCCCAGCCUCUUUAUUUAUUAAGACAUUUAGUCUUAACAAUAUAUAUACAUAUAUUUUUUUUGAGACAGACUCUCACACUGUCAUCCAGGCUGGAGUGCAGUGGCACAAUUUCGGCUCACUGCAACCUCUACCUUCCAGGUUCAAGGGAUUCUCCUGCCUCAGCCUCCCGAGUAGCUGAGACUACAGGCACAUACCAGCACUGCUGGCUAAUUUUUUUAUUUUAGUAGAGACAGGUUUCGCCAUGUUGGCCAGGCUGGUUUCGAACUCCUGACCUCAGGUGAUCUGCCUGCCUUGGUCUCCCAAAGUGCUGGGAUUACAGGCAUGAGCCAUUGUGCCUGGUCUAGUAUGUCUUUUUAACUGCUGUUUUUGAAAAUUAUUACUUUUCUUGAUGCUCUGCUUAUAAAGUUGCACAGGUUUUUGAGAGUCUGUUCCUAACUUUUAUUUCACCCAGAAGCCCUUUUUAGUGAAUGAUAUUGCCUAACACAAUUUUUCAAAUACUCAGAGGAAAUGCUCUUAUCUCCAGGUCAAGCUUCUCUACUAAGCCUGAGAACUAGAUACCCAACGACCUUCUCAAAUCCUCCGCUUCAACGUUCAGACACUUCAAACUGUAUGUAUUAAAAAGUGGCUCAGAGUGGUGACUCAGGCCUAUAAUCCCAGCACUUUGGGAGGGCAAGGUAGGAGGGUCCCUUUGAGCCCAGGAGUUCAAGAUCAGCCUGGGCGGCAUGGCGAAACCCCAUCUCUACAAAAAUACAAAGAAAUUAGCCUGGCAUUGGUGGCUUGCACCUGUAGUCCCAGCUACUCAGGAGGCUGAGGCUGGAAAAUGGCUUGAGCCCAGGAAACAGGUUGCAGUGAGCCAAGAUCGUGCCACUGCACUCCAGCCUGGGCAACAGAGUGAGAGCCUGUCUCAAAAACAAAAGAAAAAAAAAAACUGUGUUCUCCUCUAAAUCUGCUCCUCCUAUAGUCUUCUCUCUCUUAGUGCAUGUUAUCUCCAAUCUCCCAUAUGUUCAGACAUAAGCCUGCCACUAACCUAAUCUAAGCACCAUCAUGUUAUCUAGACUACUGCAAUUGCCUAUUAACCAGUUUCCUUCAAAUUAUUUUUAUCCUCUCCAUCCAGUGUUCAUGCAGAAGGCAAAAUCAUCAUUUAAAAAUGCAAACCUAAAAUCAAUACUCCUUUGUCUUUUGUUCUUAAUAUAAAAUCCAAAAUUCUUAACACAUUGUUUGGUCUCUUCUUUUGCCACAUUUCUCACUACUCUCUCUGUAUUUCCUCUUUCACCACGAUGAAGCUUUUUUCAGUUUAUCCAAUAUCUAAACUCCUUCCCAACUGAGAAUCUUAAAACAUGUUCUUCACUGUGGCUUUUUUUUUAUUUUUAUUUUUUGAGAUACAGUCUCACUCUGUUGCACUGGCGUGAUCUGGGCUCACUGCAAUCUCCGCCUCCUGGGUUCAAGCGAUUCUCCUGCCUCAGCCUCCCAAGUAGCUGGGACUACAGGCACGUGCCACCAUGCCCGGCUGAUUUUUGUAUUUUUAGUAGAGAUGGGGUUUCACCGUGUUGGCCAGCUGGCCUCAAACUCCUGACCUCAAGUGAUCUGGCCACCUCAGCCUCCCAAAGUUCUGAGAUUACAGGCGUGAGCCACCGCGCCUGGACUUCACUGUGGCUUCUCAUCCUUUAAGUCUCAACUUUUUAUCCUCAGCCAUAACUAGUAACUAUCUAAUUAGAUCCCCUUCUGCCAGCCCUUUAAUCUGUAUCAUAACACUCCAUGGUAUUAACUUUAUAGCAUUUUUCUCAAUUAAGCCAUUAUUUAUUUGCUUAUCACUCUAUGGUUUGUCUUCCUUCACUAAGCUGAAAAUUAUGAGGUCAGAUAUCAGGCAUUUACUAUUGUAUAUGCCAGUGACUAGAAUAGUCCUGUAUGUUUCAGGAAUUCAACAUAUGAACCAGUAAAUGAAUGAAUAAUGAAUGAGUCUGUUUAUCCAGUUAAAUGUUGCACAUCUGCCAGGUCUCAGUUUAGGAUCACCUUCUCAGGAAAGACUUCUCUGGGUUAGGCUCCCCAUUUCAUGCUGUACUCUCUCCCUUUUACAGUCCUUAUCACAAUUUUAACAACACGUAAUGUGAUUUUUUGUUUAUUAUCUACCUCCUCUACUAUAAUCUCCAUGACUCAAUGAACCUGUGUGCCUCAUUCUCUAUUAUAUAACAAGGGCCCACAAAGUAGAAUGCCUGGUAAAUACCUGAUAUUCAGUAACUAUUACUGAUUAAAUAAACUAUUUGUUGAAUGGACCUAAGCAUAAGACUUUUUCUCUCUUUACGUUGUUAAAAGCUGGCCGGGUGCAGUGGCUCAAGCCUGUAAUCCCAGCACUUUGGGAGGCCGAGGUGUGAGCCACUGCGCCUGGCCUAAUGCACAAGUUUUUAAUCUUUUAGGGGAAUAAUAAUAAUAACUAAUAUUUGCAUGCUUACUAUGUGAUUACUUUUCAUAAUACCCCUACAAAUCCCAUUAUAUAGGAGGUUUAGAGAAUAUACUGAGGUUUAGAGAAUUUACUUGGAAAAUCUGAUGAAAUUUUUCUAGAUUAUCACUAAAAAAGAUGCACAAACAUAUAUACCCGUAAUUUUACUUACAACAUCAGAGGGUUUAUGGACUUCCUAGAGUUAUUUUACAAACUCUUAGGCUUAAGAUCUCUCACAAAGAACUUCUAAUCUUUUAUUCGAGUGGCAAAUGCUUACUCUUUGUUUUCUAUCUUCUCAAUUCUUAAAAGGUGUAUAAUUAAGAGAGAAAAAGAUGUACAAUUCUUUCUAGAUGUACAAAUGCAUUUUCCAGAUUUCUUUUUUUUCUAUCUAAUUGAAGCAGCUUUUAUGAAAACAUCAAAAGGUAUGCUGCAAAAUGAAGUCUGUCUGAAUGAAUAUUCAGUUAAAUUUUACAAUGCUGAAAAUGUCCAAUGUUUGAAUUUUUAUUAUGAGACAUACAGUAUUAAUAACAUAUUCUUCCUGUAACAAAGAUGCAUUUAUAACUACUGGAUUAAUAUACAUUAAAAAUCCUUCCAGCAUUACCUUUUACCUCUUGGGGUGGUGGGGGCAGGGGGUGGUGGGAGAUCCUGCAUACUACUAACAGACCUAUGAGCCAUUUGUCUUUAUAAAAAUUGUGUAAUAACCUGUCUACAUAAAAAAGAUGAAUGAUUUUUCCUGGUUUCCAAAAGUUAUGUAUAUUUCUUUCUUUUUUUCUUUUUGACAAUAGCUCUUCUCAAAACAAAAAAAUAAUAUAGACAUUCCCUACUUCUUAAAUCUUAAGGAAAAGGAAUACUGAGAUUUCAAAAUACACUUAUUAAAAAACAAAAAAAGAUAUAUAUAUUAAAAGUUCAUCUACAUUUAUCAGGCACCUGUGGAAAAUAACCUAUUUCUUUAACAAAUAACAGGUAACAAAAUAA
Molecule: long non-coding RNA, 9414 nt
Filed under: Homo sapiens (human)
Lineage: Eukaryota; Metazoa; Chordata; Mammalia; Primates; Hominidae
Description: HSALNT0295953
Source: RNAcentral